Transfer RNA from Xylona heveae TC161, 103 nucleotides. It matches the Rfam family "tRNA". Rfam says of the family: Transfer RNA (tRNA) molecules are approximately 80 nucleotides in length. Their secondary structure includes four short double-helical elements and three loops (D, anti-codon, and T loops). The record is from Rfam. Lineage: Eukaryota; Fungi; Ascomycota; Xylonomycetes; Xylonales; Xylonaceae.
GGCACCGUGGCCUAAUGGUAAGGCGUUGCUUUCCGGUGUGCCCUUCCAAUGGGAGGGAUUAGGCGCUUGGCAAAGAUUGUGGGUUCGAGUCCCAUCGGUGUCG